CGCCCCUCCUCUCGAUCCACCGCUCCCGCUGCGACCUCUGCUCUCCCUCGUCUCCCGCUCCACCGCCGCCGCCCCAUCUACCGCUCCGUCGCUGCCCCUACUGCUCCACCGGACCGACCUCUUCUUCGAGCGCGACGGCAGGAGCAGCUCCACCUCUCCAUUCCCCCCACGCGAUAACACUCCUGACCCCCACCCCAUGCCCGGCCGCCGCUAGGGUUUCAACCUUCGCUGCCCCGCCGCCACCUCUCCUCACUUUCCCCCACCGCCGCCCCACUGUGCCCCCUCUCAUGUUUCGAUCUGGAAAACGGGAAGGAGAUGAUGAGCAGAGCGGUCAAAUCCAUGGCGGGCGGUGCCUCCCCAAGCUCCCGUCGGGGCGAGGCACUGGAGGCCGCCACCCUCGCCUCUCACGUGCAUCACGGUUCUGGAUCGGCCGCCAGCAUGCUUGAGGUGCAGCCUUUCCCCUUCCCCUAUCUCUUCUCUCUCUCACUCCUACCAUCCUGGUUUCCUGAGUUCCGGCUGCUUGCGGAGUGGGCAUGGAAGGAGCGGUGCUGGGCUAGAAAGUAAGGGAGUGGAUCGGCCGCCGGCAUGCUCGCCGCCGUGCCAUCCGUGUCCCUCCAAUGAUGCCCUGUAUCGCCCACGUCCAGGUCCUCCAGAUCCUAAUUAUGCUAUGGCAUUUGAUUUUGCACAUGUACGUAACAAAGUUGAUUUUGUACACUGUUGUUGCUGAGAUCGCUACCCUUAUUCUUAGUUUUUGCAGGUAGAAAAAUUAAGGGAAAUCAAAGUCAAAAGAACUGAAAAUUCUAUGCACUGUGUCUACAAGAAGUAAAAGCUGCCUAUUCCUACAAAAAGUAUGCAUAUGAGCAUAUCACAUAAGGAUAAGGAUCCACGAGUGGGUAUUACUUUCAGAACGUUUGUUAGAAUCAUUCUUUAUACGAACUUGACUGUACUUUCAGCCACAGAGCUGCAAAUUUCAUGGGCUAAUGCAUGAUAUGAUAGCAUAAUAUAAUCUGGAGGACCUUCAGACUUGGCUCUCUGCUGGGGCGAAGGCUGUGAAGUGGUUUGCCGUAGAUUCAGAGGCCAUUUUUCUUACCAAUCUGUACAUGCUCUACAGUUCAGAGCUGGUUUUUAUUUUUCCUUAAAGAAAUCCGUUUUAAUUUUCUGCUGGUUUUUGCUUUAUCUUCUUUAGCUCACAUUCUUCUAUAACAUGGUGCUUUUUUAUCUCUUAUGAACGUAAGUAGCAUGCAUCGCAGUGCUCGACAGUGACAAGUAGGUUCUGCAGGGAACCAUGGUGCUAUGUGUGAAUAGCUUAAAAUUGCAGUCAGGAGGAUGUUGUCGGGCCUCCUGGGACGGAUAUAUCCUACUAAGUGAAAGUUGCCGCGGCGGAGACUGACUUUACUUCUUCUUCAGGUGUUCUAUUCUAUUUAGUUAAAUUAAUUGGAGGUGACCUAAUUGAAGCAUUUGUUUCUCAUGAUCAGAUUGGCCGAUGAUACAGCAUACAGUCCAACCUGGCUUGGCAAGGUACAUUAAAAUGUAUCAUUCUGCAGUAUGAAAGAUGUAACUCGAUCCACUGUGUCUGAUCAUAAGGUGACAAUGGCGGCACAACAGCCAGGAGGAGACGGUGGCGAGCCCCCCUCCUCCAACUGUAGCAAUCCACCAGGCGGCGGCACGAACGACCUUCAUCUCUAGAUGCUUCCCUGCACACCGAUGAGAUUCACGCCGAUGGUCUUGACUUAUGACCAAUGUCCUUCGGGCCUGAAAUCCCUGUAGUACCCAAGGUCAAGUGAUCACUGCCGCGCCUCGCUGUGUCCUAACUCCUGACCAAUGUCCUUCAGCCUCCGGUAGCUCAUUCACUUUUUAGUGUUCCAUCUCCUUCUGUCAAGGUUUAAUGUUCUUGUACUAUUUUUCCGAGACAUGGUCACGGUUUCUUUAUGCAUGAUUUUUUAAAGAAAUCAAAAAUCUUGUUAUGUAAUGUUUAGUAUCUCUUUGUACCUCUGAUUUAUGCACCAAACUAGAGGGGGGCCAUGAAGGCAUGGAUGUUCAAUAUCUUUUCCAAUAAUAUAUGGUGAAAAAACAAUUUGAUUUUCAUAUACUUGUGUCUUUCAUGUUCACUUGGUCCAUUAGUUUAAUUUUUCUUGAACUUCUAUUUGGAAGGAGGCAAAUUGAUCAGAUGUCACCAUCUCACAUCUCAGUGCCAGUCUAUUACAACAUUGGCACAUAUUAUUCUGAUAUGUAAUAUUCUGAAUAAUAAUUUGAUUAUGUCCAAGUGAACAGUAGAAGAAUUAUCUGUCAGUGCAUAGAGUAUUUUCGACUUUCACCAUCGAGUCUUUGUAGGUAAGUUGUAUUUGUUUAAUCUACUGACACGUGCAUAUUUGACAUGGAAUGCAUGAAGGGCCACACCUAAUUGAUGUUCUCAUAAUGCUACCAUAAUACUAUGGUUCCCCUUUCUCAGUUCUGGGAAAGAGUUCACUUCAAGAAUUUGCUUUUCUUUUUGUUCACUUUCAAUUCCCCUUUGUCAAUCCCUCUCUCAUUUGACUGCAGGAUACUGUGCUUACUCCCAUCUCUCGUUUGAUCACAGGCUUUCAAAGGUGGGGCAUGGGCUCAGAGGUGAGGCCACUAGCGGUUCAACUUUGCACAUACAAGAAAAUAAAAUCAAGGUUCUGCCGCUGAAUAGAUAUUGUGUUGUAAACUUUAACAUACACACACACAUGGAUAAGUCAGUUAAUCAUUGCCUUCUGUGAUCAAAUUGGCUUGCUAUUGUGAAGGAAGUGAGUUGUUUGCUUCUGCUUCUGUGAUCAUGGGUUAGUUGAAAUCAGAAUGUAUAAUUAAUUAUUAGAGAAUGUCGCUCACAGUUAAUUUCUAUAAAUCUGCACUUCAAGCUAAAUGUGUGCAAUUUCUGUUGGGUUCCAAUAUAGAAAUUUGGACAAUAUAUAAGGAUCAAUACAAAUCCCGCUGCCUUCCGAUGAAUAGAUCUUUCAAAGGACAUCUUCUAAGACAGCAUCCACACAUUGUUCUUGCAUAUAAAUCAUAUAAAUGGAUUCAUUCAGAUUUAUUUUGUUUCAUGUCCAUGAAAGUUCUCUCAUCUUUUGAUGUGUGUUUUCUGUAGGGACUUACUUGGUGUGAAAAUUAUGCUCCAGCUUUAAUAGCUAAUAUCAGGAACUAUGUUUUAGUGUUUAUUCCUUACCACUUCCAUCCAAUAAACUAAUGUGCCUACUUUUGUACAAUGUUCUUAACUGAAGUGGAUUGUUCAUGCAGGCACAAAUUGGACUGACAAAUGCUGAUAGAGGAGGAGAACACCAUGCAAGCUGCCGCGACAGAAAACUGGGAGCCCCCUAGGAACAAAAUAAAAAAGGUCCCAACCUCAUGUCGAUGCUUAUCUUAAAAACUUGGCAUGAAUUUUGUUAUACUUGCUAAAACAUCGUAGGAAUGAAGCUAAAGGCGACUUUCCUGAUAUUGUGAAAGAAUUUUUUAAGCGCAUCAUCUAGAUAUUGAUAGUUUUGUAAUAGAUGUUAAGGUCGAACAUCGCUCAGUUUGUUACAUGCACAUGUCGUUAAUCUUUCUUUUUGUUAUCAA
This is a long non-coding RNA of Triticum aestivum (bread wheat), 3570 nucleotides long. RefSeq lists it as uncharacterized. The record is from RefSeq and is a predicted model, not a curated record. The transcript has 3 exons. NCBI's taxonomy places the organism in Eukaryota, Viridiplantae, Streptophyta, Magnoliopsida, Poales, Poaceae.